GUGAAUUCUGAAGCUUGGGUGUAUGAAGUGGUACAGACUUUGCCUUUUGUUUUUGCCUUGGAACUCAGCCAUCAUAACGGGAGGAGGCCCAAACAGCCUGUGAUGAGUGAGGUGCAAGUGGAAAGGAACUGUGGCCGCCAGCCCUCAGCCUUAGCCAAACUCCCAGCUGCCAGCCAGCAGGAACCUGCCAGCCAUAAGUGAGCCAUCUUGAAAGCGCAUCCUUCAGCCCCAGUCAAGCCAUCUCAGCUGGCGCUGUGUGGCACAAAGAUGAACCAUCCUUGUUCAUCCCUACCUACAAUGCAGCAAAACUACAGUGCGUUGUUCCCAGGUUCACCUCUGGGAUGAGAUCUGGACGAGAAUAAUCAUGCCUGCCCCUUCACCUCUGGCUGCACUCUGAGAAGUGCCAAGAAGGUCAUAUCAAAGACCCAGAGGGGAGAGAUGGAGCUAAGUGGUUCCAAACAUUUAGAGCAUGGAAUUGAGCUACUUUUUCAAAAUGGAGAAUGCAGGUUUGAACUCUACCUGGGAUGAGUGACAAUGGGAACAUCUGGGUUUUUUUUCAGAGAAGAAUCCACCCUUAUGGUGUUGUGGCCCUUUGGGCUUACUAAGACGGUCAUACAACCCCAAAGCGAGUACACAUCCCCAAAUCCAGGCUGUUCAGCUUUAUAAAUGUCAACUAUGGGGCAUCAAUAGCCCAACCCAGAGGCACACUGGAAAUGCAAUAGAACAACGGCUGCCAAUUUAAAAGCAGAAGUUAAGAAGAGCAAACCCAAAUGUACAGCGAGAGAGCUUCGGGCUGGAUCGGCUCCCGGCAGAAGCGAGACUGGAAAUCUUGGAUUCUGUUGCCUCUUCUCUCCUCUGUGAUGUGGAAGAAGAUGUCAGCACCUGGGUGUGGACUUGGUCAUUAACGCUUAUUUCCCAACCUUUGCCAAGCUGCCUAACUCCCUGGAGUCUUAGUUUUCUCAUGUGUGGGAGACAAUGUGUUCUUUAUCCUGAAGUCAUUGUGAGGACUGAGUGAGAGGAUGUAUGUGGAAGGAAGCACCAAGCGUGGUUCCUGGUAUAUACUAGGUACUCAAUAAAUGUGGACUAGCGUGAAUAUGAACUCCACUCACUUCGUGCCCCCUCAUGCUGGCUGGUCCCCGGUGCUCUGGGCUUCCCAAGUCAUGGCAGUUUUCCCAAAGUGGCCCCUAAAGUCAUGUCAGUCCUUGGGGCCUCAUUACUUAGGUUUCCUGUGCCAUCUGCUCCCUUCCAGUCAUAGAUUCCAUGCUCCGUUCUGACAGAAGCUUGCUUCUGCUGGCUGUCACACUUAAAAAGUGGCGGAUGACCAUUCGAGCGUUAGAUGAUAAUGAUUUAUGAACACCAUCCCUCCAGACAGCAUUUGCAGUAUUACAAGUUUUGCUUUUAUUUUAUUUGUCACUAGGAAGGCACUGAGAACAAAAGGAAACUCUCUUGAAUGGUGGGAUCGAGGCACUGUAGCACAUUUUUUAUGGAGGGGAAGGAGGCUUUUCACCUGGAAACCUUUCAAAUCACGCCCUAUAAGUAGCUCACGAGUCUCUCUACUCAUACUGAUCUCUUCAUCUGCUGAGUUGAACAGUGUCCCCCAAAUUCAUGGCCACCCGGGACCUGUGAAUGUGACCUUAUUUGGAAAUAGGGUCAUUGCAGAUAUACUCAAAUUAAGACGAGGCCAUAUUGGAUUAGGGGGAGCCCUAAAUUCAAUAUGACUGGAGUCUUUAUAAGAAGAGGAAAAUUUGGCCACAGAGAUAUAGACCUACGGGGUAUCAGGCCCUGUGAAGACAGAGUCAGAGAUUGGAACGAGGUGUCAAGUCAAGGAUCAACAAGGAUUGCUGACAACCAGCACAAGAUGGAAGAGGCAAGGAAGGGCUCUUCCUUAGAGACUUCAGAAGGAACAGGCCCUGCCAACACCUUGACUGUGGACUUCUAGCCUCCAGAACUUUGAGGGAAUAAAUUUCUGUUGUUUCAA
Molecule: long non-coding RNA, 1978 nt
Organism: Equus quagga
Lineage: Eukaryota; Metazoa; Chordata; Mammalia; Perissodactyla; Equidae
Exons: 4
Source: RefSeq, a predicted model, not a curated record